This 257-nucleotide ribosomal RNA is filed under the name uncultured bacterium. RNAcentral describes it as "partial 16S ribosomal RNA". It matches the Rfam family "Bacterial small subunit ribosomal RNA", at positions 524 to 776 of the family's 1533-position model. The record is from RNAcentral.
UACAGAGACCUCAAGCGUUAUCCGGAAUCAUUGGGCGUAAAGCGUACCGAUAGGUGGUUUAGAAAGUUUUGGGUAAAAGCCAGAAGCUCAACUUCUGAGUUUGCUCAAAAUACUUCUCAACUAGAGGGGCAAAGAGGUCCUUGGAACGAACGGUGUAGUAGUGAAAUGCGUUGAUAUCGUUCGGAACACCGAAAGCGAAGGCAGAGGACUGGGUGCCACCUGACACUACUAGGACGAAAGCGUGGGGAGCGAAUGGG